Molecule: transfer RNA, 75 nt
Filed under: Cordylochernes scorpioides
Lineage: Eukaryota; Metazoa; Arthropoda; Arachnida; Pseudoscorpiones; Chernetidae
Description: tRNA-Thr
Source: RNAcentral
UUAAAGGGAUGGGAUUCGAACCCACGACCUUCCGCUUACCGGGCAGAUGCCAUGACCACUAGGCUACCCUGGACA